GAUGAACGCUGGCGGCGUGCCUAAUACAUGCAAGUCGAACGGGGAGUAGCAAUACUCUUAGUGGCGAACGGGUGAGUAACCCGUUGGUACCUGCCCCGAAGCGGGGGAUAACGGACCGAAAGGUCCGCUUAUACCCCAUGUGCUCGGUAACGAGUAAAGGUGAAAACCAGCUUGGGAGGGGCCUGCGUCCCUUCAGCUAGUUGGUAAGGUAGCGGCUUACCAAGGCGGUGACGGGUAGGGGACCUGAGAGGGUGGCCCCCCACAAUGGAACUGAAACACGGGCCAUACACCGACGAGUGGCAGCAAUAGGGAAUAUUGGGAAUGGGCGCAAGCCUGAACCAGCAACGCCUCUUGUGCGAUGACGGCGUUCGGGUUGUAAAGCAGUUUGGUCUGGGACGAUGAAGGACGUUACCGGUCGAUGCAGCCUCGGCGAACUACGU
RNAcentral lists this ribosomal RNA (440 nucleotides) under uncultured bacterium. Its description in RNAcentral is "partial 16S ribosomal RNA". It matches the Rfam family "Bacterial small subunit ribosomal RNA", at positions 28 to 506 of the family's 1533-position model. The record is from RNAcentral.